Molecule: unclassified non-coding RNA, 748 nt
Filed under: Hevea brasiliensis (rubber tree)
Lineage: Eukaryota; Viridiplantae; Streptophyta; Magnoliopsida; Malpighiales; Euphorbiaceae
Source: RNAcentral
GUCUGAUUACAUUUCAGGCUAGACCGAUCCCAUUGUGGACCUUGACUGGAAUUAGCUUGCCUAGUCCAAAAGGCUACAUUUGCAUUUUCAAAGCCUUUCAGACUCAAUCCAAAGUCGGCCCGACCGACCCAAUAAUCUUGUCUAUUUUAUUGGUCCUUGGAACCUCCAACAUUAACUGAAAUACUACCCCUAUUCAUGGCAAAGUUUGAGGGUGAUGGUUAUGUGACAACAAAAGCCAACCAAAGUGAAGCAGAACCUCUCACAUUCAUACAUAUACUUUGCCAUGAAUAGCCAAACUAGUUGCAGAUCUAAUUAAGCCCCCUAUAUAUGCCUCCUUGGCCCAUCCCUAGUUUAAUUAUCAUCCUCUUCUCUUCUCCUCUCUCUGUGAGUGUUCAAUUUGUAUACAAGAAUGGGUUAUAAGUGGUGGCUGGUUUUCUUCCUGUUAGCUGUGGCCAUUGUUACUAAGUCUGAAUCUGAUGAUACUCCUGCUGGCUUUGGCUGGGGUCUCUCCGAAUUUAGCAGGGAUAAUGGAUGCAGUGACGAUCCUGAUUGUUUUGAUCUUGAAUCCAAAAUGAUGAUAAAUAGCGAGCUCGAUCCAUCUUUGGGUUUUGGCUUAAACGUCAAUAGGGAACACUAACUAAUAUUUAUGUACAUAAAAUAAAGGAAAGCUGCUCUUUAACCAUAUGGUUAUGGAAGAACUCCAUGUAUGCCUCCAUUUCAAUGUGUAACGUAUGUUCUUCAUUUCAAU